Molecule: long non-coding RNA, 218 nt
Filed under: Homo sapiens (human)
Lineage: Eukaryota; Metazoa; Chordata; Mammalia; Primates; Hominidae
Description: HSALNT0220958
Source: RNAcentral
AUAAAUCAAAAAGAUUAUUGAUCUCCCAGCACAUUCACUGAUAAAAGGAAAUACCAGCAACUCCAUGCAUCUGAGCAUACAACUUAUAUGGACUUCUAGCAAGUGAUCCCCUGGACUUAAAAACAUGUCUGAAUCCUGGCUGGGACAGUUUGGCUUUAAGUAGUACAUCAAAUUCAGGCAGGGUCUUACUCUGUUGUCCAGGCCAAGUGCAGUCGUGU